GCAAGUCGAACGAGAAAGUGGACUUCGGUCCGCGAGUAGAGUGGCGCACGGGUGAGUAACGCGUAAGUAAUCUACCCCUGUAUUUGGGAUAACCCACCGAAAGGUGUGCUAAUACCGGAUACGUCUGAUUUAAUACCUUUUUUUCAGAGAAAGGUGGCCUCUUCAUGAAAGCUACUGUACAGGGAGGAGCUUGCGUACCAUUAGCUAGUUGGUAGGGUAAUGGCCUACCAAGGCAUCGAUGGUUAGCGGGUCUGAGAGGAUGAUC
Molecule: ribosomal RNA, 265 nt
Filed under: uncultured bacterium
Lineage: Bacteria
Description: partial 16S ribosomal RNA
Rfam family: Bacterial small subunit ribosomal RNA
Source: RNAcentral